AAACUUUGGUCCUAGGCUAACUAUUAUCCCCCUCAAAGCUUAUACAUGCAAGCCUCCACACCCCAGUGACACACAGGUAUCAUGGCCUCCCACAAAACACCUGAGCUUCGCCACAUCCACACGGACCCGCAGCAGUAACCAACACUAGGCCAUGAGUUAUACACUCGACCAGGCCACAGAGACCCGGGUCGGCUAAUUUAUGUGCCAGCCGCCGCGGCUACACUGAAGACCCAAGAUAAUCCCCACGGCAAAAUUGACUAAAAGCCCGCCAUGAAACUAAGAACAAACCAAGUUUAACACGUAAAACAAUACUCACCAGAAAACCAAGACCUUAAUACUAAGGCGCUUUAACUCAUAAAGGUGGGGAAACAAACUAGGAUUAGACACCCUACUAUGCCCCACUAAAACCACGACCAAAAAAGUACGAGCGCAGCUUAAAACUUAAGGACCUGGCGGUACUCGACAUCAACCUAGAGGGGCCUGUCUAGUAACCGAUAGUCCACGAAAGACCCGACCUUUUCUAGCCAACAAAGCCUAUAUACCGCCGUCCACAGCAUAUUUUACAAAAAAUGCAGCCAAAUAGACAAUCGCCCUAACACGUCAGGUCGAGGUGUAGCACAUGAAAAGGAUAAGAUUGGCCACAGUACCCCACCAAAAUCAAACCAUGAUGAAACACAUAACUAACUACGGAUUUAGUAGUAAGGGGGCCAACGAACACCCCCCUGAAAUACACCGCUCUCGAGUACGCACACACCGCCCGUCAUCCUCUUUAACAAAUACAAGAGGCAAGUCGUAACAUGGUAAGUGCACCAUAAGGUGUACUUAGAAGA
Molecule: non-coding RNA, 830 nt
Filed under: Acanthosaura lepidogaster
Lineage: Eukaryota; Metazoa; Chordata; Lepidosauria; Squamata; Agamidae
Source: RNAcentral